RNAcentral lists this ribosomal RNA (492 nucleotides) under uncultured bacterium. Its description in RNAcentral is "partial 16S ribosomal RNA". It matches the Rfam family "Bacterial small subunit ribosomal RNA", at positions 29 to 507 of the family's 1533-position model. The record is from RNAcentral.
AGUGAACGCUGGCGGUAGGCCUAGCACAUGCAAGUCGAACGGCAGCACAGUAAGAGCUUGCUCUUACGGGUGGCGAGUGGCGGACGGGUGAGGAAUACAUCGGAAUCUACUUUUUCGUGGGGGAUAACGUAGGGAAACUUACGCUAAUACCGCAUACGACCUACGGGUGAAAGCAGGGGAUCUUCGGACCUUGCGCGAUUGAAUGAGCCGAUGUCGGAUUAGCUAGUUGGCGGGGUAAAGGCCCACCAAGGCGACGAUCCGUAGCUGGUCUGAGAGGUUGAUCAGCCACACUGGAACUGAGACACGGUCCAGACUCCUACGGGAGGCAGCAGUGGGGAAUAUUGGACAAUGGGCGCAAGCCUGAUCCAGCCAUACCGCGUGGGUGAAGAAGGCCUUCGGGUUGUAAAGCCCUUUUGUUGGGAAAGAAAAGCAGCAGGUUAAUACCCCGCUGUUCUGACGGUACCCAAAGAAUAAGCACCGGCUAACUUCGUG